UACGGAGGGUGCGAGCGUUGUUCGGAAUCACUGGGCGUAAAGCGCACGUAGGCGGCUUCUUAAGUCAGGGGUGAAAUCCUGGAGCUCAACUCCAGAACUGCCUUUGAUACUGAGAAGCUUGAGUCCGGGAGAGGUGAGUGGAACUGCGAGUGUAGAGGUGAAAUUCGUAGAUAUUCGCAAGAACACCAGUGGCGAAGGCGGCUCACUGGUCCGGUUCUGACGCUGAGGCGCGAAAGCGUGGGGAGCAAACAGG
Molecule: ribosomal RNA, 253 nt
Filed under: uncultured bacterium
Lineage: Bacteria
Description: partial 16S ribosomal RNA
Rfam family: Bacterial small subunit ribosomal RNA
Source: RNAcentral